GUAGUUAGCCGUGGCUUCCUCCUUAGGUACCGUCAUUAUCGUCCCUAAAGACAGAGCUUUACAAUCCGAAGACCGUCAUCACUCACGCGGCGUUGCUGCAUCAGGGUUUCCCCCAUUGUGCAAUAUUCCCCACUGCUGCCUCCCGUAGGAGUCUGGGCCGUGUCUCAGUCCCAAUGUGGCCGAUCAGCCUCUCAGCUCGGCUACCCAUCGCAGGCUUGGUGGGCUGUUAUCUCACCAACUACCUAAUGGGACGCGAACCCCUCCCUCAGCGGAUUGCUCCUUUGACCUCAUCCCGAUGCCGGGUCGUGGUCUUAUGCGGUAUUAGCACUUGUUUCCAGGUGUUAUCCCCCUCUGAAGGUCAGGUUGUUCACGCGUUACUCACCCGUUCGCCACUAAAAUUUAUCUUCCAUCCGAAAACUUCUGAUAAAUCUCCGUUCGACUUUGCAUGUGUUAGGCACGCCGCCAGCGUUCGUCCUGAGCCAGAAUCAAACUCUGA
RNAcentral lists this ribosomal RNA (496 nucleotides) under uncultured bacterium. RNAcentral's name for it is "partial 16S ribosomal RNA". The record is from RNAcentral.